Molecule: ribosomal RNA, 257 nt
Filed under: uncultured bacterium
Lineage: Bacteria
Description: partial 16S ribosomal RNA
Rfam family: Bacterial small subunit ribosomal RNA
Source: RNAcentral
UACGAAGGGGGCUAGCGUUGCUCGGAAUGACUGGGCGUAAAGGGCGCGUAGGCGGUUUGGACAGUCAGGCGUGAAAUUCCUGGGCUUAACCUGGGGGGCUGCGCUUGAUACAUCCAGACUUGAGUGGGGAAGAGGGUCGUGGAAUUCCCAGUGUAGAGGUGAAAUUCGUAGAUAUUGGGAAGAACACCAGUGGCGAAGGCGGACUUCCUGGCCUGUUCUUGACGCUGAGGCGCGAAAAGCUAGGGGAGCAAACGGGG